GUGCUUGCUUUGGCACCACAUAUCCUAAUAUUGGAACAAUACGGAGAGAAGUUGAGCAUGGCACCUGCGCGAGGAUGACAUGCAAAUUCGUGAAGCAUUCUGUAUUUGU
This is a small nuclear RNA of Dromiciops gliroides (monito del monte), 109 nucleotides long. NCBI's taxonomy places the organism in Eukaryota, Metazoa, Chordata, Mammalia, Microbiotheria, Microbiotheriidae. The record is from RefSeq and is a predicted model, not a curated record.